This 362-nucleotide long non-coding RNA is filed under the name Lathyrus oleraceus (garden pea). RNAcentral describes it as "Pisum sativum (pea) long non-coding RNA (PSAT_LNC038301)". Lineage: Eukaryota; Viridiplantae; Streptophyta; Magnoliopsida; Fabales; Fabaceae. The record is from RNAcentral.
AACGAGGAAAUUUCAGUCAUUGAACCCUUUUUCAAUCUACCAGAACCUGUUGAGAUAACUUAUCAAAGAAAAGAUGUUGUUCAUCAAUCACUCGUGGUAGUUUGUAUGCCUACCCCCUUUCCCUUUGAAAGCACCAAAGCGGUACCUUGGAAAUAUGACAUAAAUGUGGUAGAUGGAGUGGUAGAUGAAGAACCCAAAGAUGUUGAAGGUGAGAAAAGCUUGGAGAAUGUUGACACCAAUAUCACUAUGUAAGACCCUAAUUUUGACCCUAAGAUCCCUCAUGGCAUCAUAUCAUUGCUCAUUGCAUUGCCUCAAGGAUCAUAGCAUGUGUAGCUCCUUAACCCUUGGGUUGGGACUUGUGU